GCGCAUCUGGUGUAGUGGUAUCAUAGUACCCUCCCACAGUAUUGACUGGGGGUUCGAUUCCCCAGAUGCGCA
This 72-nucleotide transfer RNA is filed under the name Amborella trichopoda. It matches the Rfam family "tRNA". Rfam says of the family: Transfer RNA (tRNA) molecules are approximately 80 nucleotides in length. Their secondary structure includes four short double-helical elements and three loops (D, anti-codon, and T loops). Further hydrogen bonds mediate the characteristic L-shaped molecular structure. tRNAs have two regions of fundamental functional importance: the anti-codon, which is responsible for specific mRNA codon recognition, and the 3' end, to which the tRNAs corresponding amino acid is attached (by aminoacyl-tRNA synthetases). tRNAs cope with the degeneracy of the genetic code in two manners: having more than one tRNA (with a specific anti-codon) for a particular amino acid; and 'wobble' base-pairing, i.e. permitting non-standard base-pairing at the 3rd anti-codon position. Lineage: Eukaryota; Viridiplantae; Streptophyta; Magnoliopsida; Amborellales; Amborellaceae. The record is from Rfam by way of RNAcentral.